RNAcentral lists this ribosomal RNA (235 nucleotides) under uncultured bacterium. RNAcentral describes it as "partial 16S ribosomal RNA". It matches the Rfam family "Bacterial small subunit ribosomal RNA", at positions 99 to 334 of the family's 1533-position model. The record is from RNAcentral.
CGCACGGGUGAGUAACGCGUAUCCAACCUGCCGUCUACUCUUGGACAGCCUUCUGAAAGGAAGAUUAAUACAAGAUGGCAUCAUGAGUCCGCAUGUUCACAUGAUUAAAGGUAUUCCGGUAGACGAUGGGGAUGCGUUCCAUUAGAUAGUAGGCGGGGUAACGGCCCACCUAGUCUUCGAUGGAUAGGGGUUCUGAGAGGAAGGUCCCCCACAUUGGAACUGAGACACGGUCCAA